ACGUAUCUCUGACGUGGCGGGUCGACCCUGCUCGGGUUCCGAAAGGGCCUUUGCAGCGGGUCGCCCGUCGCGCUCAACCUUCACAAACCCCUGUGCACCUUUACGGCCGGAGGGUGGUGGCGAGAGCCCCGCCCGAUGCCGCAUUCAACAAACACUUGUAUAAAAAGAAUGACCAGUGGCCCAUGUGCCGCCUAAAAACAUAA
This 203-nucleotide unclassified non-coding RNA is filed under the name uncultured fungus. RNAcentral describes it as "sequence contains ITS1, 5.8S rRNA gene". Lineage: Eukaryota; Fungi. The record is from RNAcentral.